UUAAUUGAAGCCAAAAAAGAGGCAUAUUACUGUUAAUAAUAAGAUUGAAUAUUUUAUUCCAAUUAAG
RNAcentral lists this transfer RNA (67 nucleotides) under Cerapanorpa brevicornis. RNAcentral describes it as "tRNA-Asn". Lineage: Eukaryota; Metazoa; Arthropoda; Insecta; Mecoptera; Panorpidae. The record is from RNAcentral.